GACGAACGCUGGCGGCGUGCUUAACACAUGCAAGUCGAACGGACAGGCCCUGCUUUUGUGGGGUGCUCGAGUGGCGCACGGGUGAGUAACACGUGAGUAACCUGCCCUUGACUUUGGGAUAACUUCAGGAAACUGCGGCUCAUACCGGAUAUGAGCUCCUGCUGCAUGUUGGUGGUUGGAAAGUUUCGGCGGUUGGGGAUGGACUCGCGGCUUAUCAGCUUGAUGGUCGGGUUGUGGCGUACAAAGGCUGUGACGGAUAGCCGGCCUGGGAGGGUGAACAGCCACAUGGGGCCUGAGGUACGGCCCAGUCUCCUACGGGAGGCAGCAGUGGGGAAUAUGGCGCAGUGGGCGGAAGCCUGAUGCAGCGACGCCGCGUGCGGGAUGACGGCCUUCGAGUUGUAAACCGCUGUCGCAGGUGACGAAGAGUGAGUGACGGUAAUGGGUAAGGAAGCACCGGCUAACUACGUG
This 468-nucleotide ribosomal RNA is filed under the name uncultured bacterium. RNAcentral's name for it is "partial 16S ribosomal RNA". It matches the Rfam family "Bacterial small subunit ribosomal RNA", at positions 28 to 507 of the family's 1533-position model. The record is from RNAcentral.